GGUGCUAUAGCUCAGUGUAGAGCACAUGCUUAACAUGCAGGAGGUUCUGGGUUCAAUCCCCCUACCUCCA
This 70-nucleotide transfer RNA is filed under the name Camelus bactrianus (Bactrian camel). It matches the Rfam family "tRNA". Rfam says of the family: Transfer RNA (tRNA) molecules are approximately 80 nucleotides in length. Their secondary structure includes four short double-helical elements and three loops (D, anti-codon, and T loops). Further hydrogen bonds mediate the characteristic L-shaped molecular structure. tRNAs have two regions of fundamental functional importance: the anti-codon, which is responsible for specific mRNA codon recognition, and the 3' end, to which the tRNAs corresponding amino acid is attached (by aminoacyl-tRNA synthetases). tRNAs cope with the degeneracy of the genetic code in two manners: having more than one tRNA (with a specific anti-codon) for a particular amino acid; and 'wobble' base-pairing, i.e. permitting non-standard base-pairing at the 3rd anti-codon position. RNAcentral also lists the same sequence under 2 other names. The record is from Rfam by way of RNAcentral. Lineage: Eukaryota; Metazoa; Chordata; Mammalia; Artiodactyla; Camelidae.